Molecule: long non-coding RNA, 190 nt
Organism: Sebastes umbrosus (honeycomb rockfish)
Lineage: Eukaryota; Metazoa; Chordata; Actinopteri; Perciformes; Sebastidae
Exons: 3
Source: RefSeq, a predicted model, not a curated record
UCUAAAAAUGACCCUCUACACUUCAGUAAUGAACCUGGACCCUCAGAGUCAAAAGCUCAGUACAGACAGAGAGCAGAGUCUCCAGUACCCAGCUGUCUGUCUAUGAAAAGUGACUGGUCCAUGUGGACUCCUCUGAACUUCAGUAAUGAACCUGGACCCUCAGGCACAAAAGAGAAGAAGGAGGAGCUGA